UUCUUCCUUGAUGAGUCAUCCUGGUUGUCAACAUGAUGCACACAGUUCCUCCAUCAGCCCGGCCUGCAGACACGCCUGUGGGCAUGUUCUCUGGAGGUUGAUGUAGGAGGAACCAGCACUGUAGACAGGACCCUCUGGGCAGGCUCAAGAGCAGAUGGGGAGAGAACCACUUUUAAUGAAGAUCACGCAGCGAGAGAAGACGAUCUCCUUGUCCCAGCAGAGGCAGGCAACCUCCUGUAAAAUGCUACACAGCAAACAUUUUGACUUGGCAGGCAAUACUGUCGUGACGACUUAAGUCUCCCACUACAGUGCAAAAGCAACUACAGACAGCGAGAAAGCAAGCCUGUGACUGUGCCACUUUACAUGAUGGACAUGAACAAGAGUCUACCUUUCAGAGCUGUAAGACUUCCCCCAACUACUUAAAAAUAAUACAAUAACCAUUUUUAGUAUGCAGACCAGACUAAAACAGAAAACAAGCCAAAUUUAGCCCAGGGGCCACCAUUUGCCAAUCCUUAUUCUUGAUAACAAUGAAGCAAAUGAACAAUGAAACAAACUUCAUUCUCCUAAGCAUCCCUUAUUGCUGUGGAGCACACGUUCCAUGCACAGCCGCUUGCUUGCACAAGACAGAGGCGCUCCUCUCUUCUGUAAGGGUAGCACUCUGGAGUCCACGACUAUGAAGCAUGGCAUGUAAUUAUAUCCAUGUACCAAACACACAAAGUUAUACUUUGAUAUGGGAAGACCUGAGCUCCUUCACAUCUUCUCGUCGUUGCCACCAAGAAAGAGCAGCAGGCUAGAUGCAGAGUGUUUCCCUGAACCAGGAGUGGCCAGCACAAUUCCACCUCCCCACAGGCUCCAAAGUACAUCCUGUGUGACACAGGAGUAAAGGCACCUCUCACUUUCCAACAGAGAAGUAGUGUAACCCACGUAAAGAACAAUGGUUCACAGGGUCUCCAUGGUGACUUUCUAGAUGCUCUGUUAGAGCCAGUUUUAAACCCGAGUGUCUCCUUGGCUAGCUGUUCCUCUGCAGAUAGUCUGCCUCUGACUGCCGUUAAGUCUAAUGUCAGACACUCACUGUGCUUGAUGACACUGACUUCUAGAAUGGGAACUGGAGAAGUCUAGUGCUUUUCUGUUUCAACCUACAGCUGUCAACAUUCUCCUUUGUCAGAGUGCCCCUAAAUUCCAGCCACACUCUGCUUCCACCCAUUGUCCCAGGUUCAGGAAAACUAAUGGCAGUUCACACAGCUGUGAGGGCAAAUAUUAAGGAACUCACAUUAUAGUCGGAGAAACAUAUGUGAACGAAGCAAGUAAAUGAAAAUAUACAGAACAGAGAAGCACUCAGUAGAAGCAAAUCUUACCAAGGACUUAAGCUGGCAAGUGUUGCAGGCUGUGUAGGAGGGCAGGUUUCCCAGUUCAGCAGAGGUCAUAAGAGAAAGGCUCUCUGCAGAUCAGAGGGUGAAAGAUGUGCUGUUCGUGAGGAAAUCACAUGAGUUACCUGGGAAGACUGGCAGGUUGCUGGGGAAACUCCAGACUAUCCUCACAGCUUUUCUCUAAAUCUAAAACUACUUUGACAACCAAGAAAUCCACACAGAUGGAGCAAAAACAAAGUCGUGGACUUGGUUGGCAGUCUAGCGGAUGAAGAUAAAUGGGGCUGCAGCUCCAGGAUCCAUGAGAAUAAAAAAGAAUCAGAUGAGCCUAGUGGACUUCAAUCUCCUAAGCAUCCAGAAAGUCUGCCAUGUUAAAAAAAAAACCUGCAAUUUUCUAAGGUGAGCAACCGAAGGUUCAGGAAAAGAACACAGGAAACCCAGUCUUUAUCUUAGAGGGGAGAAAUCAAACAGUCUGGGUAAGCAGUGAAAGAAGAUGGAUGGAACCCAAAGGUCCGAAUGACCACAAGGAACCCAGCAGCUUGCUCUAGACCCCUAUAUGAAAGAAAAAUAAACUUCCUGAACCCUUAA
This is a long non-coding RNA of Rattus norvegicus (Norway rat), 1952 nucleotides long. RefSeq lists it as uncharacterized. The record is from RefSeq and is a predicted model, not a curated record. Lineage: Eukaryota; Metazoa; Chordata; Mammalia; Rodentia; Muridae.